This 1143-nucleotide ribosomal RNA is filed under the name Staphylococcus aureus. RNAcentral's name for it is "bacterial SSU rRNA". It matches the Rfam family "Bacterial small subunit ribosomal RNA", at positions 133 to 1262 of the family's 1533-position model. The record is from RNAcentral. Lineage: Bacteria; Bacillati; Bacillota; Bacilli; Caryophanales; Staphylococcaceae.
UAAGACUGGGAUAACUUCGGGAAACCGGAGCUAAUACCGGAUAAUAUUUUGAACCGCAUGGUUCAAAAGUGAAAGACGGUCUUGCUGUCACUUAUAGAUGGAUCCGCGCUGCAUUAGCUAGUUGGUAAGGUAACGGCUUACCAAGGCAACGAUGCAUAGCCGACCUGAGAGGGUGAUCGGCCACACUGGAACUGAGACACGGUCCAGACUCCUACGGGAGGCAGCAGUAGGGAAUCUUCCGCAAUGGGCGAAAGCCUGACGGAGCAACGCCGCGUGAGUGAUGAAGGUCUUCGGAUCGUAAAACUCUGUUAUUAGGGAAGAACAUAUGUGUAAGUAACUGUGCACAUCUUGACGGUACCUAAUCAGAAAGCCACGGCUAACUACGUGCCAGCAGCCGCGGUAAUACGUAGGUGGCAAGCGUUAUCCGGAAUUAUUGGGCGUAAAGCGCGCGUAGGCGGUUUUUUAAGUCUGAUGUGAAAGCCCACGGCUCAACCGUGGAGGGUCAUUGGAAACUGGAAAACUUGAGUGCAGAAGAGGAAAGUGGAAUUCCAUGUGUAGCGGUGAAAUGCGCAGAGAUAUGGAGGAACACCAGUGGCGAAGGCGACUUUCUGGUCUGUAACUGACGCUGAUGUGCGAAAGCGUGGGGAUCAAACAGGAUUAGAUACCCUGGUAGUCCACGCCGUAAACGAUGAGUGCUAAGUGUUAGGGGGUUUCCGCCCCUUAGUGCUGCAGCUAACGCAUUAAGCACUCCGCCUGGGGAGUACGACCGCAAGGUUGAAACUCAAAGGAAUUGACGGGGACCCGCACAAGCGGUGGAGCAUGUGGUUUAAUUCGAAGCAACGCGAAGAACCUUACCAAAUCUUGACAUCCUUUGACAACUCUAGAGAUAGAGCYUUCCCCUUCGGGGGACAAAGUGACAGGUGGUGCAUGGUUGUCGUCAGCUCGUGUCGUGAGAUGUUGGGUUAAGUCCCGCAACGAGCGCAACCCUUAAGCUUAGUUGCCAUCAUUAAGUUGGGCACUCUAAGUUGACUGCCGGUGACAAACCGGAGGAAGGUGGGGAUGACGUCAAAUCAUCAUGCCCCUUAUGAUUUGGGCUACACACGUGCUACAAUGGACAAUACAAAGGGCAGCGAAACCGCGAGG